This is a long non-coding RNA of Brienomyrus brachyistius, 1624 nucleotides long. RefSeq lists it as uncharacterized. Lineage: Eukaryota; Metazoa; Chordata; Actinopteri; Osteoglossiformes; Mormyridae. The transcript has 7 exons. The record is from RefSeq and is a predicted model, not a curated record.
UGUCACUAUGUCGGACCACAGGAAAUAAUAACAAAGCUGCCUCUGUGAGUCCAGUUGUUAGCAACUAGUUUCCUAGUUUCCAUGGAAGUUCAGAGACACAAGGAUCUGUGCAGCUGUCUAACAGGCCCUGCUUCUCCAGUCUGGUUUUUUUUUCUGUUUCUAACUUCUGCUUUGACGCUGAAUAAUUCGGACACUCGUUUGGCCUUUCCAGCAUAUUCCUGAUGCAAAGGGGGGCCUGAUUUAGGAGGCUUCACGGACGCCGGGCAUUUUCCACAAUCGCAGAGAAGAACAGGGCCCCCCAGUGUAAUCCGAUUCCAGGAACCCCGUUUGACGGAUCGCCUGCGGGGGCUUCUAGAAUCCGAACGUGGCACUUUGACCGCGGAGUGUUUUAAACGAAGAACAUCUUUCCGGAAGUAAAACUCCUACGAGCAGCCGUGCUUCAAUGUUUCACCUGUCGACGCUGAGAAUCGCGGUCUACAUCGACAGCUGGCCAUCCUCGAAAUAUUUACCCACAAGGCUCUGCUGCUUCACCAAGUAUUCAAAUAGAUGGUAUUCAUAGCCUGGGUCCUUUCAUCGCAGAGUCUCAAAGCACUAAUCCCCCUUCUGCUCCGAUGGCCGCACUGCAGACUCUCAGCAUUCAUCCACCCAGCUUACAGAUGUAGCCGCCCGGGAUGCUUCUCCAACAGGCCUGGAGGAGUUUCCACAGUUUCGUUGGCUUCAUCGGAUCUUCGUUUCUUCUUCCACCUGAAACAUCGAGGAGAGACGGGCUGAGGUGCCAUUUCUCUGCAAACCGAGACGCUCGGUGUGUCUGUGACCGGCUCCGCUUUGCCACCACCGACAGCACGAGCGAAAAGGGCCCUCACCUUGGGGUAUGAACUGAAUUAAGAGCAGCACGACCCCCCCCAGGAAGAGCGUGGAGAAGAGACAAAGGCGCCUGGGCACGUAGCGGAAGAGCAGCCAGGCCGAGACGUAGGCGGGGACUUCGAUGGCUGCCGAGAUGAAGCAGUUGAGAUAAUCCAUUGACGCAUCUAUCAAAGAAUGCAGAUCACAUUGCUGUGGUAAAAGGGGGAUAUAAAGCGUGGUAAUAUUGACUGGAAUGCAGAGGAAUGGAUCUGAAAUAACACUCCGUUUUGUUAGACAUACGCAGGUCAGUUCAGAUUCUAUCAAUACCAGAUAAAUUUCUUAGUUUCUCCCAUGAAAUACUGGGCAUUGAAGGUCGUGGUUUAUUAAAAAAAUAGACUCGGUGGACUUCUGCAAAUUCCCAAUAAUAUAUGCUUCCUAUAAGAGCCAGAAACUACAAAUACGUUAUAGUACAGGACAUGCUAAAGUGUACAGCGCAAAUUUAGAGACUGAUUCACACAUAGUCCUGUUAUGAUAAAGCUUUUCGCAAUCUAAAGAGAGCAACAUGCUUAAAAAUUACAAUAAAUUCGUUUGGACGUGCAAUACACUCUUAACUGUUGCUUAAUGCGUAAUAUGCGAGUCCUUUAUGUUACUGUACAAUAGUGAAAUUAAUAAUUCUGGUUAGUUCUGGUUUUGGUUAGAAAUAAUGGAUUUGAAGACUUUACAUCAUAUAUGGCAUCUUUGCAAGUACUUUUGUAUAUUUGCAUGAUUAUUAAUUCUUAUU